This 239-nucleotide ribosomal RNA is filed under the name uncultured bacterium. RNAcentral describes it as "partial 16S ribosomal RNA". It matches the Rfam family "Bacterial small subunit ribosomal RNA", at positions 15 to 235 of the family's 1533-position model. The record is from RNAcentral.
GAUCAUGGCUCAGGACGAACGCUGGCGGCGCGCCUAACACAUGCAAGUCGAACGGGGUUAUACGGGAUGAAGUUUUCGGAUGGAAUUCUAUAUAACCUAGUGGCGGACGGGUGGGUAACACGUGAGCAACCUGCCUAUCAGAGGGGGAUAACGAUUGGAAACGAUCGCUAAUACCGCAUGACAUAGCGGGAAGGCAUCUUCCUGCUAUCAAAGAUUUAUCGCUGAUAGAUGGGCCCGCG